RNAcentral lists this ribosomal RNA (1162 nucleotides) under Philagra concolor. RNAcentral describes it as "SSU rRNA". It matches the Rfam family "Eukaryotic small subunit ribosomal RNA", at positions 710 to 1752 of the family's 1831-position model. Lineage: Eukaryota; Metazoa; Arthropoda; Insecta; Hemiptera; Aphrophoridae. The record is from RNAcentral.
CCGUCGGUGUUAACUGGCAUGUCCUGUGGAACGUCCUGCCGGUGGCGGUCCGGGCUCUCGGCUUGCGUAAAGGCUCUGCCCGAAGCAGGUCGAACAGUUCCGGCCGCCGGUCCAAUCCCGCCACGGUGCUCUUUACCGAGUGUCGAGGUGGGCCGGCACGUUUACUUUGAACAAAUUAGAGUGCUUAAAGCAGGCUGGUGUCCGCCUGAAUACUGUGUGCAUGGAAUAAUAGAAUAGGACCUCGGUUCUAUUUUGUUGGUUUUCGGAACCCGAGGUAAUGAUUAAUAGGGACAGGCGGGGGCAUUCGUAUUGCGACGUUAGAGGUGAAAUUCUUGGAUCGUCGCAAGACGAACCUAAGCGAAAGCAUUUGCCAAGUAUGUUCUCGUUAAUCAAGAACGAAAGUUAGAGGUUCGAAGGCGAUCAGAUACCGCCCUAGUUCUAACCAUAAACGAUGCCAGCCAGCGAUCCGCCGAAGUUCCUCCGAUGACUCGGCGGGCAGCUUCCGGGAAACCAAAGCUUUUGGGUUCCGGGGGAAGUAUGGUUGCAAAGCUGAAACUUAAAGGAAUUGACGGAAGGGCACCACCAGGAGUGGAGCCUGCGGCUUAAUUUGACUCAACACGGGAAACCUCACCAGGCCCGGACACCGGAAGGAUUGACAGAUUGAGAGCUCUUUCUUGAUUCGGUGGGUGGUGGUGCAUGGCCGUUCUUAGUUGGUGGAGCGAUUUGUCUGGUUAAUUCCGAUAACGAACGAGACUCUAGCCUGCUAACUAGGCGAUUUCCGGUACCCACAAUAGUGUUACCGGCGAUUCAAUUUCUUCUUAGAGGGACAGGCGGCUCCUAGCCGCACGAGACUGAGCAAUAACAGGUCUGUGAUGCCCUUAGAUGUCCUGGGCCGCACGCGCGCUACACUGAAGGAAUCAGCGUGUCUUCCCUGGCCGACAGGCCCGGGUAACCCGUUGAACCUCCUUCGUGCUAGGGAUUGGGGCUUGCAAUUGUUCCCCAUGAACGAGGAAUUCCCAGUAAGCGCGAGUCAUAAGCUCGCGUUGAUUACGUCCCUGCCCUUUGUACACACCGCCCGUCGCUACUACCGAUUGAAUGAUUUAGUGAGGUCUUCGGACUGGUGCGCGGCGGUCGGUCUUGCCGGCCGCCGAUGUUGCUGGAA